RNAcentral lists this ribosomal RNA (468 nucleotides) under uncultured bacterium. RNAcentral's name for it is "partial 16S ribosomal RNA". It matches the Rfam family "Bacterial small subunit ribosomal RNA", at positions 28 to 507 of the family's 1533-position model. The record is from RNAcentral.
GACGAACGCUGGCGGCGUGCUUAACACAUGCAAGUCGAACGGAAAGGCCCUGCUUUUGUGGGGUGCUCGAGUGGCGAACGGGUGAGUAACACGUGAGUAACCUGCCCUUGACUUUGGGAUAACUUCAGGAAACUGGGGCUAAUACCGGAUAGGAGCUCCUGCUGCAUGGUGGGGGUUGGAAAGUUUCGGCGGUUGGGGAUGGACUCGCGGCUUAUCAGCUUGUUGGUGGGGUAGUGGCUUACCAAGGCUUUGACGGGUAGCCGGCCUGAGAGGGUGACCGGCCACAUUGGGACUGAGAGACGGCCCAGACUCCUACGGGAGGCAGCAGUGGGGAAUAUUGCACAAUGGGCGGAAGCCUGAUGCAGAAACGCCGCGUGCGGGAUGACGGCCUUCGGGUUGUAAACCGCUUUCGCCUGUGACGAAGCGUGAGUGACGGUAAUUGGUAAAGAAGCACCGGCUAACUACGUG